UCCUAAAAAAAACACCACCCUAUAGUUGAAGCAACUCCUCCCUGCAGUUUUCCGGGAGCGGCUGGGCCGGGGGGAUGUGCGGGGACCCACGGCACUGAUGCGGGGAUGGAGAGCCCGGCUGCCCAUGCCCAGCCUGGAGAGCACCGGGCACCGAGGGGAACGCAAGAAAAACCGGCUGAGCACCGGGGCAGCGUGACCAGACCGGCCUGGCUCCGGCACCGUGCUGAAGGGAGAACAGAAAAUAAACUGCAGAAAGAGGGAAAAGCCGGUUAUGUGCUCAGCUGGCUGGAGCAGGGCUCUGUGCGCAGCACGGCCAGGGGAGGCUCCGGGAAGUGCCUGGGAUGGGCUGGGAUGGGCUGGGAUGGGAUGGACUGAGGAAAACGGAGUGGCAGGGGCUGCUUGCUGGCCGAGCAUCUGUCCUGAAGUGCGAGAUGCUCCUUUCAUCCAGAAGGGGAGAGAAAACCGUCCCCUGGGCUGGGUUGUGGCUGCAGGGACCUGAAGCACGCCUCUCCUCUUGUUCUCCUGAUCUUUGGAAGACGGUUCUUACUCUCCUUUAGAAAUGCAAUUUCAAAAUCGCUCAGUCUUUUGAUAUUUGAAGAGUUUGGGUUUCAGGUUUGGGGAUUUUUGCUCUGCUUUUUGCUCUGGAAUUUUUGCUCUGCUUUUUCUGUAUUACCAAAUUUCAUGUGUUUUCCACAGGAGAUUUACAAGCACAAACUGCUGCCGGUGCUGCUGUGGCCAGCAAGGAUCAGUGGGAGGGAAGGAUGUGCUCCCCACACUGCUUGGCUUUGGGGGACAGCAGCUGUGCCCCCCUUCUGUACCCCUUGGGGACAAAACUGAUAAAAUGAUUGUGCUUGGAUCCCUUCAGGCUCUAGACCAGGGGUGUAAAGAUGGGAAAUUUUAGGGUGCUGCCUGUACUGAAAGGUUUGGGGAGCAUGGGGCGGGCAGGGGCUCUGCUCAGAGGUGCUGGGUUGGAGUCUGCAGGAUGGGAAGCCACAGAGCUGAUCCUUCUCAGGAAGAGAGAAGGAGCUUUCAGGACAUGAAAUUGGGUGCAAACAGGGGGAAUUGAGUGCCAGCUCGCCGGUCAGGUGGCUUAGGGGAGAGCAAAGAGGGGUGUGCUCUGCCUGGGGACACCCUGGUCCUCAUCCCCUCCACGUCCAGGUCACCUGGCAGCUUCCCACACAGUCUAAACCCAAUAAGAGGCAACCGCCUGGGACUAACAAUAGGACUCUUCUUCUUCCUUUUUUUAAACUUACUUUUAAAAGGAUUGCCCAGAUGAAGUUAAACCCCAGAAUUCAGCAAGCCUGGAGGAAUCCCCAGGAGCAAGCCCUGAGGAGGACACUCACGAACUCACUUCAAACUCCAAGAGCAGCUUCUGACAAGCACUCCAUCAAAACCUGGCUGAACAACUCAGUGGUUCUCCAUAAUGCCACAGUGAUGCUUCCCUGCUCAUCCACGGCUUGGAGUUCCUCUGGAGGAGGGGAUCCCACUGAAGCUUCUCCCACACACAUCCCUGGGCAUCUCCUGCUGUUCUGCUUUCUUGGCUCGUGGCUCUUCCUGCCCAGCCGGGGUCCCUGGGCUGCAGGCCACUGACAGCUCCAGCGGAACCAAAUUACCAUUUGGAAUUACCAUGAGAUAAUUGGCCUCAUUUACUAUUUAAAGAUGGGGGAAAAAAAAGCUCCUUCUUCCAGACAACUGCAGUGGAGAAAUGUUCAGGCACAGAUGAUGUCCCAAAACAUAUCAUUAAAGCUUUAAAUAAAUGUAUGAUGACAUCUCAGAGUAAGAAAUACUUCCUUUGUAUUUCAGAUAGGAGCCAGCCAGGUCCUUCUCAAAGUCAUUUUUUAAUAAACAAAGGAUAUUCCUCUUGUUUUUCCAGACACGCAACUUACAAUAUUUGGAGUUGUAAGUAUGUAAUUUAAAUUCUUUCACACAUUAUGGAUUUAAAACCCAUCUUCCUUAGAGACAUCUUUUACUUGCCAAAAGGUAAAUGCCUCUGUUUGCUGCUUUUUGUCUUUUUAACUUGAAAUGCUGCA
Poecile atricapillus (Black-capped chickadee) is the source of this 2030-nucleotide long non-coding RNA. RefSeq lists it as uncharacterized. The record is from RefSeq and is a predicted model, not a curated record. The transcript is spliced from 3 exons. NCBI's taxonomy places the organism in Eukaryota, Metazoa, Chordata, Aves, Passeriformes, Paridae.